Molecule: unclassified non-coding RNA, 240 nt
Filed under: soil metagenome
Description: partial contains 5.8S ribosomal RNA, internal transcribed spacer 2, and large subunit ribosomal RNA
Source: RNAcentral
AAGACUAUAGACCUGCGGAGUACCUGCGGAAGGAUCAUUAAUGAAACUGAAGUCUUCGGACUCAAUCUUCAUUAUUCCACACACACACCUGUGCACCUUUUUUUUGAUUCGAGUGCUGGUUAUUAGAGCUUCGGCUUGAAUGCUAGUGCUUGUCUCAAUAAUAAUAUCAACCUUUUAAAACAAUGUUUUCUAGAAUGUAUACUGUCUCGUUGUAAUGGCGAGUACAACCCCUAUAAAACU